This 480-nucleotide ribosomal RNA is filed under the name Prevotella sp. oral taxon G70. RNAcentral describes it as "bacterial SSU rRNA". It matches the Rfam family "Bacterial small subunit ribosomal RNA", at positions 28 to 495 of the family's 1533-position model. The record is from RNAcentral. Lineage: Bacteria; Pseudomonadati; Bacteroidota; Bacteroidia; Bacteroidales; Prevotellaceae.
GAUGAACGCUGGCUACAGGCUUAACACAUGCAAGUCGAGGGGAAACGGCAUUGAGUGCUUGCACUGAAUGGACGUCGACCGGCGCACGGGUGAGUAACGCGUAUCCAACCUUCCCGUUACUGCGGGAUAACCUGCCGAAAGGCAGACUAAUACCGCAUGUUCUUCGAUGACGGCAUCAGAUUCGAAGCAAAGAUCCGUCGGUAACGGAGGGGGAUGCGUCUGAUUAGCUGGUUGGCGGGGCGACGGCCCACCAAGGCGACGAUCAGUAGGGGUUCUGAGAGGAAGGUCCCCCACAUUGGAACUGAGACACGGUCCAAACUCCUACGGGAGGCAGCAGUGAGGAAUAUUGGUCAAUGGGCGGAAGCCUGAACCAGCCAAGUAGCGUGCAGGAGGACGGCCCUACGGGUUGUAAACUGCUUUUAUGCGGGGAUAAAGUGAGGGACGCGUCCCUUUUUGCAGGUACCGCAUGAAUAAGGACCG